RNAcentral lists this transfer RNA (66 nucleotides) under Rhipicephalus geigyi. RNAcentral's name for it is "tRNA-Tyr". The record is from RNAcentral. Lineage: Eukaryota; Metazoa; Arthropoda; Arachnida; Ixodida; Ixodidae.
GCGGUAAAAUGGCUGAAAAUUAGGCGAUAAAUUGUAAAUUUAUUUAUGAAACUAGUUCUUUUACUA